Molecule: ribosomal RNA, 253 nt
Filed under: Pirellulales bacterium
Lineage: Bacteria; Pseudomonadati; Planctomycetota; Planctomycetia; Pirellulales
Also listed under: 2 other names
Description: partial 16S ribosomal RNA
Rfam family: Bacterial small subunit ribosomal RNA
Source: RNAcentral
GACGAACCUUGCUAACGUUAUUCGGAAUUACUGGGCUUAAAGGGUGCGUAGGCGGUGCGGAAAGUUGGGUGUGAAAUCCCUCGGCUCAACCGAGGAAUUGCGCCCAAAACUGCCGCACUAGAGGAAGACAGAGGUACGCGGAACUUAGGGUGGAGCGGUGAAAUGCGUUGAUAUCCUAAGGAACACCGGUGGCGAAAGCGGCGUACUGGGUCUUAUCUGACGCUGAGGCACGAAAGCUAGGGGAGCGAACGGG